Molecule: transfer RNA, 76 nt
Filed under: Planctomycetota bacterium
Lineage: Bacteria; Pseudomonadati; Planctomycetota
Description: Planctomycetes bacterium (activated sludge metagenome) tRNA-Ile
Source: RNAcentral
CGCGGGUUUGCUGGAGAUAGUUCCAGUCUGGUCUCAUACGCCAUGCAGGUGGGUGCAAGUCCCACACCCGCAACCA